This 207-nucleotide ribosomal RNA is filed under the name uncultured bacterium. RNAcentral describes it as "partial 16S ribosomal RNA". It matches the Rfam family "Bacterial small subunit ribosomal RNA", at positions 568 to 774 of the family's 1533-position model. The record is from RNAcentral.
CACGUAGGCGGGUCGUUAAGUCAGGGGUGAAAUCCCGGAGCUCAACUCCGGAACUGCCUUUGAUACUGGCGAUCUAGAGGUCGAGAGAGGUGAGUGGAAUUCCGAGUGUAGAGGUGAAAUUCGUAGAUAUUCGGAAGAACACCAGUGGCGAAGGCGGCUCACUGGCUCGAUACUGACGCUGAGGUGCGAAAGCGUGGGGAGCAAACA